RNAcentral lists this unclassified non-coding RNA (315 nucleotides) under plant metagenome. RNAcentral describes it as "partial contains 5.8S ribosomal RNA, internal transcribed spacer 2, and large subunit ribosomal RNA". The stretch from base 1 to 105 matches the Rfam family "5.8S ribosomal RNA", at positions 50 to 154 of the family's 154-position model. The record is from RNAcentral.
GAAAUGCGAUAAUUAAUGUGAAUUGCAGAAUUCAGUGAAUCAUCGAGUCUUUGAACGCACAUUGCGCCCCCUGGUAUUCCGGGGGGCAUGCCUGUCCGAGCGUCAUUGCUGCCCUCAAGCACGGCUUGUGUGUUGGGCUUCCGUCCCUGGCAACGGGGACGGGCCCAAAAGGCAGUGGCGGCACCAUGUCUGGUCCUCGAGCGUAUGGGGCUUUGUCACCCGCUCCCGUAGGUCCAGCUGGCAGCUAGCCUCGCAACCAAUCUUUUUAACCAGGUUGACCUCGGAUCAGGUAGGGAUACCCGCUGAACGUAAGCA